GCGGCGUGCACAAACAUGCAAGUCGAGCGAACGGACGAGAAGCUUGCUUCUCUGAUGUUAGCGGCGGACGGGUGAGUAACACGUGGAUAACCUACCUAUAAGACUGGGAUAACUUCGGGAAACCGGAGCUAAUACCGGAUAAUAUUUUGAACCGCAUGGUUCAAAAGUGAAAGACGGUCUUGCUGUCACUUAUAGAUGGAUCCGCGCUGCAUUAGCUAGUUGGUAAGGUAACGGCUUACCAAGGCAACGAUGCAUAGCCGACCUGAGAGGGUGAUCGGCCACACUGGAACUGAGACACGGUCCAGACUCCUACGGGAGGCAGCAGUAGGGAAUCUUCCGCAAUGGGCGAAAGCCUGACGGAGCAACGCCGCGUGAGUGAUGAAGGUCUUCGGAUCGUAAAACUCUGUUAUUAGGGAAGAACAUAUGUGUAAGUAACUGUGCACAUCUUGACGGUACCUAAUCAGAAAGCCACGGCUAACUACGUGCCAGCAGCCGCGGUAAUACGUAGGUGGCAAGCGUUAUCCGGAAUUAUUGGGCGUAAAGCGCGCGUAGGCGGUUUUUUAAGUCUGAUGUGAAAGCCCACGGCUCAACCGUGGAGGGUCAUUGGAAACUGGAAAAACUUGAGUGCAAAAGAGGAAAGUGGAAUUCCAUGUGUAGCGGUGAAAUGCGCCAAAGAUUGGAGGAACACC
RNAcentral lists this ribosomal RNA (689 nucleotides) under Staphylococcus aureus. RNAcentral describes it as "bacterial SSU rRNA". It matches the Rfam family "Bacterial small subunit ribosomal RNA", at positions 39 to 710 of the family's 1533-position model. The record is from RNAcentral. Lineage: Bacteria; Bacillati; Bacillota; Bacilli; Caryophanales; Staphylococcaceae.